GACGAACGCUGGCGGCAUGCCUAACACAUGCAAGUCGAACGAGACCUUCGGGUCUAGUGGCGCACGGGUGCGUAACGCGUGGGAACCUGCCCUUAGGUUCGGAAUAACUCCCCGAAAGGGGUGCUAAUACCGGAUAAUGUCUUCGGACCAAAGAUUUAUCGCCUUUGGAUGGGCCCGCGUUGGAUUAGCUAGUUGGUAGGGUAAAAGCCUACCAAGGCGACGAUCCAUAGCUGGUCUGAGAGGAUGAUCAGCCACACUGGGACUGAGACACGGCCCAGACUCCUACGGGAGGCAGCAGUGGGGAAUAUUGGACAAUGGGCGAAAGCCUGAUCCAGCAAUGCCGCGUGAGUGAUGAAGGCCUUAGGGUUGUAAAGCUCUUUUACCCGGGAUGAUAAUGACAGUACCGGGAGAAUAAGCUCCGGCUAACUCCGCG
This 433-nucleotide ribosomal RNA is filed under the name uncultured bacterium. Its description in RNAcentral is "partial 16S ribosomal RNA". It matches the Rfam family "Bacterial small subunit ribosomal RNA", at positions 28 to 507 of the family's 1533-position model. The record is from RNAcentral.